This 239-nucleotide unclassified non-coding RNA is filed under the name Hypocreales sp. Its description in RNAcentral is "partial contains 5.8S ribosomal RNA, internal transcribed spacer 2, and large subunit ribosomal RNA". The record is from RNAcentral. Lineage: Eukaryota; Fungi; Ascomycota; Sordariomycetes; Hypocreales.
CGCACAUUGCGCCCACCAGUACUCUGGUGGGCAUGCCUGUCCGAGCGUCAUUUCAACCCUCAGGCCCGGCCUGGUGUUGGGGAUUGGCUUCGCAGCCAGCCCCGAAAUGCAGUGGCGGCCCUCCGCAACUCCUCUGUGUAGUAGUGAUACCCGCAUUGGAUAGUGGUUGCGCCUCGCCGUAAAACCUCCAACUCUUCAAGGUUGACCUCGGAUCAGGUAGGAAUACCCGCUGAACUUAA